UAGCUAUAAGCUGUGAAGUAAUCUAUGAUUCAGCUUGCUUUUACUUCUCUGCCCUUGUAGGGGGAUGAUCUAGCUGAUGACAAUCUGGCAGAUUUAUGUCUAGGGAGAAUCAGUCCCACCCUGUGUGGGUGUUGGCUUGAAUGGCUCUAGUCCCUCUGGUGCAAAGAGGCCGGUCACCUCAGCAAGCAAGGAGGACAAAUUGGAGCCAGCUAACAUCCGUCAGGAACUCCACAGCCAAAGGCAUGAUCUGGUGGGAAGAACUGAGUUCACUGUCAACUAUACUAAAUUGAAGGAAAAAAUAAUUGGAAAGUAAGAGAUUUUAAAGGACAUUCUGAGUCCCGAGAAACAUCUUCAUUCGUCUGGAAUGCAUUUGAACAUGCAAGAGAAAAUAACCUGAUACAAGAUGGUCAUAGAUGUGGCCCACUGAACUUACCAUGGCUCACAUUCCCACCUGUGAGCAGCAAGGGAACAAUUAACAUUAUAGAUGAGCCACUUGUUUUUGGAAUGGAGCACAGCUGCUGUCUAAUGGCCCGGAGGAACCACAGCCUGAGACCAGAAGUGAAGGAGAAUACUUGCCUAACUCAAUCUGAAGGUGAAAUCGAAGCAAGCAGAUUCUAGUGUUCCAAGAAUCAGGACUGGCCAGUCAUGAGGAUUAACAUCCCUUCUCUCAAUGACACUAUGCCAAGAGUUUUUGUUUUGUUUUGCUAUUUUUUUUAAAUGAGCAACAGCCUUCAGAUCCUGAGUUUAAAGGCCUGAUGCAGGCCUGAGUCAUUGGCACCGCUCUGUAACUCCUCUCUGUUGCAGGUGUGCUGAGGGGCUCCUCUGGGCCCAGCCAACCCCCCUCCCCUUCCUCCUCACUCCCCUCUCUCCACCUGACAAUUGUAAAAUUUAAGGAGCAGAUCCUCUCAGGGUGGUAUAGCUUCAGGCAUAUGAAUUCUUUCCGGGGCUCUUUGAGCUUGGAAGCAGUUUAAAGGUAAGAAGGUUUGAAGAGUGAAUGAGUUCCCAAGAAUAAACAUGUUUCAAAGGAACCUGAAUGAGGGACUUUGUUUAUGCGGGUUUUAUAUGACGUUUGCUUACUUAAUGUAGUAACUCCUUGAACAUAUUGCCUUGUAUGAUAUAAUUUAUUUACAUAAUUCUGGAUUGGAAAGUCAUGAGCAAACCCUAGGAAAACUUCUAGAAAAAAGAAAACUUGUUUUUAUAAGGAUUUUAAAAUUAAAUAUACGUUAUGUGUAUACCUAGGUAUAGCUAUGUGGAUGUAUAAAAAUCCACAGAUACAGAAGAUUAUAUACCUGUAUAGAUAAUAGAGAGAAUUAAAUUAGAUAUAAAUAUUUGAAAAAGAGGGCAAAAAUAAAUGUAGAUCAAAAUCCAAUUUCCAGCCUGUUUUAAUUUAUGCCAAAUUAUUUCCUACAUGACAUAAAAGAAUAUGGUGCUUUUAAAUUAUUAUGAUCCAAGUUUUGCUUUUUUAAGCAUUUCAGUUUUUGCCACAUUGAUCUGUUACAAAACUAAGGAAGUCCUUUAAAGCACUGAACUGUUCAAAACUCUCAUGACAGAAUUAUGAUAAAAUAUUUUAAAAAGCAGAGUUUACCUUUAGUGUCUCCUGAAAAGAGGAGAAAAGAAUUUCUCCCACAGAGUACCUAGGUAAAGGAAAGGAAAAAGAGUCUCUCUUUCUAGAAGUGUAAGUGUGCUCACUUUCUUAAAAAAAAAAAUUUUAUGUCCCACAAAAGAGAUUAUAAG
Aotus nancymaae (Ma's night monkey) is the source of this 1734-nucleotide long non-coding RNA. The record is from Ensembl. Lineage: Eukaryota; Metazoa; Chordata; Mammalia; Primates; Aotidae.